UAGACAUCCACCAAAUUUACUAACUGACAUUUACAGCAAACAUGACAGCAACAGUCAGCAGGAACAAGAGCUACACAGACAAAACAACAACAGCAACAGCAGCAGGCCUACUGAGGGGCCACAUACAAAAUUUGAUGUUUGUGUCAGUUAUUCAGACAACUGCACUGAAUUAUGCUGAGCCGGUCGGGGUGUUGUGGGUGUGCUAGGCUAGGCACGGAAUGACUGUAUGCAUGAAUGAAUUGUUGGCGAUUCGGUUAGAUUUUUUGAUGUUUUACUAUUUUUGCUGGCCAAGAGGUUGUGAAGCCAUUGGAUGGCCGUGACGUUGCGUUAAUUGCCACUGCAACACAAGGACAUGGCUAACAACUGUAGACAAGAAAAAUAAACCAGAAACACAACAUUUCCUCUAACUACUGUCUGAGGUACAACUUGAUGUUAAUCCUGGGUAACUCUUCAAAUCGUGUCGUGCCACACACCAAAUGUGAAAGUUGCAACUUUAUGAGGCAAAGAAGAUCUCCUUACUGCCUUCUGAGCAAGUAACCACGGCGCUCCUUGGUGCAGACUUCUUCAGCCAUCGACCCAUCCGACGCAGCUACUUACCACCAGGCAGCAUUAUCCACAGCGGUAAUCGCUACAGGAACAAGGUAGACCACACAACUUAUCUCCCACCCCACGCACAGUGACAGGCCUCCCAAUGCACACGACGCUACCACAACUGAACUGCAACAGACUCCACGGCAAGAUCGAAGAGAUAACCCUCUAUAUGGGUCGGUAUGACAUACUGAAAGAUCUG
Rhagoletis zephyria (snowberry fruit fly) is the source of this 790-nucleotide long non-coding RNA. RefSeq lists it as uncharacterized. The record is from RefSeq and is a predicted model, not a curated record. NCBI's taxonomy places the organism in Eukaryota, Metazoa, Arthropoda, Insecta, Diptera, Tephritidae.